This 880-nucleotide ribosomal RNA is filed under the name uncultured bacterium. RNAcentral describes it as "bacterial SSU rRNA". It matches the Rfam family "Bacterial small subunit ribosomal RNA", at positions 553 to 1431 of the family's 1533-position model. The record is from RNAcentral.
ANUGGGCGUAAAGAGCUUGUAGGCGGUUGGUCGCNUCUGCUGUGAAAGGCCGGGGCUUAACUCCGGUUUUGCAGUGGGUACGGGCUAACUAGAGUGCAGUAGGGGAGACUGGAAUUCCUGGUGUAGCGGUGGAAUGCACAGAUAUCAGGAGGAACACCGAUGGCGAAGGCAGNUCUCUGGGCUGUAACUGACGCUGAGAAGCGAAAGCAUGGGGAGCGAACAGGAUUAGAUACCCUGGUAGUCCAUGCCGUAAACGUUGGGCACUAGGUGUGGGGGACAUUCCACGUUUUCCGCGCCGUAGCUAACGUAUUAAGUGCCCCGCCUGGGGAGUACGACCGCAAGGCUAAAACUCAAAGGAAUUGACGGGGGCCCGCACAAGCGGUGGAGCAUGCGGAUUAAUUCGAUGCAACGCGAAGAACUUUACCAAGGCUUGACAUGCAUUAGAUCGCGUCAGAGAUGGCGUUUCCCUUCGGGGCUGGUGUACAGGUGGUGCAUGGUUGUCGUCAGCUCGUGUCGUGAGAUGUUGGGUUAAGUCCCGCAACGAGCGCAACCCUCGUUCUAUGUUGCCAGCGGUUCGGCCGGGGACUCAUAGGAGACUGCCGGGGUUAACUCGGAGGAAGGUGGGGAUGACGUCAAAUCAUCAUGCCCCUUAUGUCUUGGGCUUCACGCAUGCUACAAUGGCCGGUACAGAGGGUUGCGAUACUGUGAGGUGGAGCUAAUCCCUUAAAGCCGGUCUCAGUUCGGAUUGGGGUCUGCAACUCGACCCCAUGAAGUCGGAGUCGCUAGUAAUCGCAGAUCAGCAACGCUGCGGUGAAUACGUUCCCGGGCCUUGUACACACCGCCCGUCAAGUCACGAAAGUUGGUAACACCCGAAGCCGGU